UUAAGCGACUAAGCGUACACGGUGGAUGCCCUGGCAGUCAGAGGCGAUGAAGGACGUGCUAAUCUGCGAAAAGCGUCGGUAAGGUGAUAUGAACCGUUAUAACCGGCGAUGUCCGAAUGGGGAAACCCAGUGCAAUUCGUUGCACUAUCGUUAACUGAAUACAUAGGUUAACGAGGCGAACCGGGGGAACUGAAACAUCUAAGUACCCCGAGGAAAAGAAAUCAACCGAGAUUCCCCCAGUAGCGGCGAGCGAACGGGGAGCAGCCCAGAGUCUGAAUCAGCUUGUGUGUUAGUGGAACGGUCUGGAAAGUCCGACGGUACAGGGUGAUAGUCCCGUACACCAAAAUGCACAGGUUGUGAACUCGAAGAGUAGGGCGGGACACGUGGUAUCCUGUCUGAAUAUGGGGGGACCAUCCUCCAAGGCUAAAUACUCCUGACUGACCGAUAGUGAACCAGUACCGUGAGGGAAAGGCGAAAAGAACCCCGGCGAGGGGAGUGAAAAAGAACCUGAAACCGUGUACGUACAAGCAGUGGGAGCACCUUCGGGUGUGACUGCGUACCUUUUGUAUAAUGGGUCAGCGACUUAUAUUCUGUAGCAAGGUUAACCGUAUAGGGGAGCCGCAGGGAAACCGAGUCUUAACUGGGCGUUAAGUUGCAGGGUAUAGACCCGAAACCCGGUGAUCUAGCCAUGGGCAGGUUGAAGGUUGGGUAACACUAACUGGAGGACCGAACCGACUAAUGUUGAAAAAUUAGCGGAUGACUUGUGGCUGGGGGUGAAAGGCCAAUCAAACCGGGAGAUAGCUGGUUCUCCCCGAAAGCUAUUUAGGUAGCGCCUCGUGAAUUCAUCUUCGGGGGUAGAGCACUGUUUCGGCUAGGGGGUCAUCCCGACUUACCAACCCGAUGCAAACUACGAAUACCGAAGAAUGUUAUCACGGGAGACACACGGCGGGUGCUAACGUCCGUCGUGAAGAGGGAAACAACCCAGACCGCCAGCUAAGGUCCCAAAGUCAUGGUUAAGUGGGAAACGAUGUGGGAAGGCACAGACAGCCAGGAUGUUGGCUUAGAAGCAGCCAUCAUUUAAAGAAAGCGUAAUAGCUCACUGGUCGAGUCGGCCUGCGCGGAAGAUGUAACGGGGCUAAACCAUGCACCGAAGCUGCGGCAGCGACACUAUGUGUUGUUGGGUAGGGGAGCGUUCUGUAAGCCUGCGAAGGUGACCUGUGAGGGUUGCUGGAGGUAUCAGAAGUGCGAAUGCUGACAUAAGUAACGAUAAAGCGGGUGAAAAGCCCGCUCGCCGGAAGACCAAGGGUUCCUGUCCAACGUUAAUCGGGGCAGGGUGAGUCGACCCCUAAGGCGAGGCCGAAAGGCGUAGUCGAUGGGAAACAGGUUAAUAUUCCUGUACUUGGUGUUACUGCGAAGGGGGGACGGAGAAGGCUAUGUUAGCCGGGCGACGGUUGUCCCGGUUUAAGCAUGUAGGCUGAUUAUCCAGGCAAAUCCGGAUAAUCAAGGCUGAGGUGUGAUGACGAGGCACUACGGUGCUGAAGUAACAAAUGCCCUGCUUCCAGGAAAAGCCUCUAAGCAUCAGGUAACAUCAAAUCGUACCCCAAACCGACACAGGUGGUCAGGUAGAGAAUACCAAGGCGCUUGAGAGAACUCGGGUGAAGGAACUAGGCAAAAUGGUGCCGUAACUUCGGGAGAAGGCACGCUGGUGUGUAGGUGAAGUCCCUGCGGAUGGAGCUGAGACCAGUCGAAGAUACCAGCUGGCUGCAACUGUUUAUUAAAAACACAGCACUGUGCAAACACGAAAGUGGACGUAUACGGUGUGACGCCUGCCCGGUGCCGGAAGGUUAAUUGAUGGGGUUAUCCGUAAGGAGAAGCUCUUGAUCGAAGCCCCGGUAAACGGCGGCCGUAACUAUAACGGUCCUAAGGUAGCGAAAUUCCUUGUCGGGUAAGUUCCGACCUGCACGAAUGGCGUAAUGAUGGCCAGGCUGUCUCCACCCGAGACUCAGUGAAAUUGAACUCGCUGUGAAGAUGCAGUGUACCCGCGGCAAGACGGAAAGACCCCGUGAACCUUUACUAUAGCUUGACACUGAACAUUGAGCCUUGAUGUGUAGGAUAGGUGGGAGGCUUUGAAGCGUGGACGCCAGUCUGCGUGGAGCCAACCUUGAAAUACCACCCUUUAAUGUUUGAUGUUCUAACGUUGGCCCCUGACCGGGGUUGCGGACAGUGUCUGGUGGGUAGUUUGACUGGGGCGGUCUCCUCCCAAAGCGUAACGGAGGAGCACGAAGGUUAGCUAAUCCUGGUCGGACAUCAGGAGGUUAGUGCAAUGGCAUAAGCUAGCUUGACUGCGAGCGUGACGGCGCGAGCAGGUGCGAAAGCAGGUCAUAGUGAUCCGGUGGUUCUGAAUGGAAGGGCCAUCGCUCAACGGAUAAAAGGUACUCCGGGGAUAACAGGCUGAUACCGCCCAAGAGUUCAUAUCGACGGCGGUGUUUGGCACCUCGAUGUCGGCUCAUCACAUCCUGGGGCUGAAGUAGGUCCCAAGGGUAUGGCUGUUCGCCAUUUAAAGUGGUACGCGAGCUGGGUUUAGAACGUCGUGAGACAGUUCGGUCCCUAUCUGCCGUGGGCGCUGGAGAAUUGAGGGGGGCUGCUCCUAGUACGAGAGGACCGGAGUGGACGCAUCACUGGUGUUCGGGUUGUCAUGCCAAUGGCACUGCCCGGUAGCUAAAUGCGGAAGAGAUAAGUGCUGAAAGCAUCUAAGCACGAAACUUGCCCCGAGAUGAGUUCUCCCUGAGACUUUAAGUCUCCUGAAGGAACGUUGAAGACGACGACGUUGAUAGGCCGGGUGUGUAAGCGCAGCGAUGCGUUGAGCUAACCGGUACUAAUGAACCGUGAGGCUUAACCUU
This 2900-nucleotide ribosomal RNA is filed under the name Klebsiella pneumoniae. Its description in RNAcentral is "bacterial LSU rRNA". It matches the Rfam family "Bacterial large subunit ribosomal RNA". The record is from RNAcentral. Lineage: Bacteria; Pseudomonadati; Pseudomonadota; Gammaproteobacteria; Enterobacterales; Enterobacteriaceae.